UUGGAGGGCAAGUCUGGUGCCAGCAGCCGCGGUAAUUCCAGCUCCAAUAGCGUAUAUUAAAGUUGUUGCAGUUAAAAAGCUCGUAGUUGAAUUUCGGGGUUAGUAGGUUGGUCAUGCCACUGGUAUGUACUGGUCUCACUGAUUCCUCCUUCCUGAUGAGCCGUAAUGCCAUUAAUUUGGUGUUGCGAGGAAUCUGGACUGUUACUUUGAAAAAAUUAGAGUGUUUAAAGCAAGCUAACGCUUGAAUACAUUAGCAUGGAAUAAUGAAAUAGGACGUUCGAUCCUAUUUUGUUGGUUUCUAGGAUUGACGUAAUGAUUAAUAGGGAUAGUUGGGGGCAUUAGUAUUCAAUUGUCAGAGGUGAAAUUCUUGGAUUUAUUGAAGACUAACUACUGCGAAAGCAUUUGCCAAGGAUGUCUUCAUUAAUCAAGAACGAAAGUUAGGGGAGCGAAGACGAUCAGAUACCGUCGUAGUCUUAACCAUAAACUAUGCCGACUAGGGAUCGGAUGAUGUUAAUUUUUUAAUGACUCAUUCGGCGCCUUACGGGAAAC
RNAcentral lists this ribosomal RNA (549 nucleotides) under uncultured Glomeromycotina. RNAcentral describes it as "SSU rRNA". It matches the Rfam family "Eukaryotic small subunit ribosomal RNA", at positions 548 to 1098 of the family's 1831-position model. Lineage: Eukaryota; Fungi; Glomeromycota. The record is from RNAcentral.